This 406-nucleotide ribosomal RNA is filed under the name uncultured bacterium. RNAcentral describes it as "partial 16S ribosomal RNA". It matches the Rfam family "Bacterial small subunit ribosomal RNA", at positions 28 to 526 of the family's 1533-position model. The record is from RNAcentral.
GACGAACGCUGGCGGCGCGCUUAACACAUGCAAGUCGAGCGAAGCGGCGGACGGGUGAGUAACACGUGAGUAACCUGCCUUAGACAUUGGGAUAGCCUCGGGAAACCGGGAUUAAUACCAAAUGGUCUAAGAUGGACUCGCGUCCCAUUAGCUAGUUGGUGGGUAACGGCCCACCAAGGCGACGAUGGGUAGCCGGCCUGAGGAGGGGAACGGCAACAUGGGAACAGAGAAACGGUCCAAACUCGACGGAGGGAAGCAGUGGGGAAGCUUGCACAAGGGGGGGAACCCUGAGGCAGCGACGCCGCGUGAGCGAUGAAAGUUGUAGAAUCGUAAAGCUCUGUCCUAUGGGAAGCGGUACCAGAGGAGGAAGCCCCGGCUAACUACGUGCCAGCAGCCGCGGUAAUAC